RNAcentral lists this ribosomal RNA (729 nucleotides) under uncultured archaeon. RNAcentral's name for it is "bacterial SSU rRNA". It matches the Rfam family "Archaeal small subunit ribosomal RNA", at positions 128 to 860 of the family's 1478-position model. The record is from RNAcentral.
AAUCUCGGGAAACUGAGGAUAAUACCCCAUAGGUGUGGUAUGCUGGAAGGCUUCCACGCUAAAAGCCCCGGCGCUCCAGGAUGAGUCUGCGGCCUAUCAGGCAGUAGUGGGUGUAACGGACCCACUAACCUACGACGGGUAGGGGCGUUGAGAGACGGAGCCCCCAGAUGGAUUCUGAGACACGAAUCCAGGCCCUACGGGGCGCAGCAGCUACGAAAACUGCCCAAUGUGGGAAACCACGAGGCGGGCAUUCCGAGUGCCAAGGCAUUGCUUUGGCUGUUCUUUCGCCUAAAAAGCGAGAGAAGUAAGGGCCGGGUAAGACGGGUGCCAGCCGCCGCGGUAAUACCCGCGGCCCGAGUGGUGCUCAUUAUUAUAGAGCUUAAAGCGUCCGUAGCCGGCCUUGUAAAUCUUUGGGUAAAUCGGGCAGCUCAACUGUUCGAAUUCCGAGGAGACUGCAAGGCUCGGGACCGGGAGAGGUUCGAGGUACUCUCGGGGUAGGGGUAAAAUCCUGUAAUCCUGAGAGGACCACCAGUGGCGAAGGCGUCGAACUAGAACGGAUCCGACGGUGAGGGACGAAGCCCUGGGGCGCAAACGGGAUUAGAUACCCCGGUAGUCCAGGGUGUAAACGCUGCGGGCUUGGUGUCGGAGGUCCUACGUGGGCGUCCGGUGCCGGAGAGAAAUUGUUAAGCCUGCCGCUUGGGGAGUACGGUCGCAAGACUGAAACUUAAA